GACGAACCGAGCGAACGUUGUUCGGAAUCACUGGGCUUAAAGGGCGCGUAGGCGGGUGCUCAAGUCCGGGGUGAAAUCCUCCAGCUCAACUGGAGAACUGCCUUUGAUACUGGCGAACUUGAGUGCGUGAGGGGUAGGGGGAACGAGCAGUGUAGCGGUGAAAUGCGUAGAUAUUGCUCGGAAGGCCAGAGCCGAAGGGGCCCUACUGGUGCGCAACUGACACUGAGGCACGAAAGCGUGGGGAGCAAACAGG
Molecule: ribosomal RNA, 253 nt
Filed under: uncultured bacterium
Lineage: Bacteria
Description: partial 16S ribosomal RNA
Rfam family: Bacterial small subunit ribosomal RNA
Source: RNAcentral